Xyrauchen texanus (razorback sucker) is the source of this 480-nucleotide non-coding RNA. NCBI's taxonomy places the organism in Eukaryota, Metazoa, Chordata, Actinopteri, Cypriniformes, Catostomidae. The record is from the annotation of a RefSeq genome assembly.
AUGUGUUGCUCAAAUCUGUUCUUGCUGUUGCUAGCAGCUGUAUCUUGUGUCCACUGUGUUGAACUGAAUCAGCCUGCUUCCAGUGUUUUAAGGCCUGGUCAGGCAUUGACACUGACCUGUCAGGUAUCUGGAUAUUCACUGACUGACAGCAGCUACUGCACUCACUGGAUACGACAGGCUGCAGGAAAAGCUCUGGAAUGGAUUGGAGCGAUAUGUGGUAGCAGUAACACAUAUUACAGUGAUGAACUGAAGGGUAGAUUUCAAGUAACCAGAGACUCUUCCAGCAGCACAGUAACUCUUAAAGGACAGAAUAUGCAGACUGAGGACACAGCUGUGUAUUACUGUGCUCGAGAAUACACAGUGAUACAAACCACAAGCACUUCUGUUCAAAUCAGCUUGAAUGAAAAGAACAACAGAAAAGAUAUUUUGCGCUUUAAUGUCAAUAGCAUGAAAAGGGAUGUCACGCAUACAAUCUCAUAA